GUGCCAGCCGCCGCGGUAAUACCGGCAGCCCGAGUGAUGGCCGAUAUUAUUGGGCCUAAAGCGUCCGUAGCUGGCUGCGCAAGUCCGUCGGGAAAUCCACUCGCUCAACGAGUGGGCGUCCGACGGAAACUGAACAGCUUGGGACCGGAAGGCUCGAAGGGUACGUUCAGGGUAGGAGUGAAAUCCCAUAAUCCCGCACGGACCACCGAUGGCGAAAGCACUUCGAGAAGACGGGUCCGACAGUGAGGGACGAAAGCCAGGGUCUCCAACCGGAUUAGAAACCCUUGUAGUCC
RNAcentral lists this ribosomal RNA (293 nucleotides) under uncultured bacterium. RNAcentral's name for it is "partial 16S ribosomal RNA". It matches the Rfam family "Archaeal small subunit ribosomal RNA", at positions 455 to 747 of the family's 1478-position model. The record is from RNAcentral.